This 494-nucleotide ribosomal RNA is filed under the name uncultured bacterium. RNAcentral's name for it is "partial 16S ribosomal RNA". It matches the Rfam family "Bacterial small subunit ribosomal RNA", at positions 28 to 523 of the family's 1533-position model. The record is from RNAcentral.
GAUGAACGCUGGCGGCGUGCCUUAGGCAUGCAAGUCGAACGGAAUUUAAAAGUGGAAGUUUUCGGAUGGAAACUUUUAAAUUUAGUGGCGGACGGGUGAGUAACGCGUGGGUAACCUGCCGUAUACAGGGGGAUAACACUUAGAAAUAGGUGCUAAUACCGCAUAAGCGCACAGUGUCGCAUGACACAGUGUGAAAAGCCUCGACGGUAUACGAUGGACCCGCGUCUGAUUAGCUAGUUGGUGGGGUAGAGGCCUACCAAGGCGACGAUCAGUAGCCGGCCUGAGAGGGUGACCGACCACAUUGGGACUGAGACACGGCCCAAACUCCUACGGGAGGCAGCAGUGGGGAAUAUUGCACAAUGGGGGAAACCCUGAUGCAGCGACGCCGCGUGAGUGAAGAAGUAUUUCGGUAUGUAAAGCUCUAUCAGCAGGGAAGAAAAUGACGGUACCUGACUAAGAAGCCCCGGCUAACUACGUGCCAGCAGCCGCCGUAA